This 433-nucleotide ribosomal RNA is filed under the name uncultured bacterium. RNAcentral's name for it is "partial 16S ribosomal RNA". It matches the Rfam family "Bacterial small subunit ribosomal RNA", at positions 29 to 507 of the family's 1533-position model. The record is from RNAcentral.
AACGAACGCUGGCGGCAUGCCUAACACAUGCAAGUCGAACGAGGCCUUGGGGUCCAUUUGCGCACGGGUGCGUAACGCGUGGGAACCUGCGUUUAGGGUCGGAAUAACUCCCCCAAAGGGGGGCUAACACCGGGAAAUUGUUGCUGAUCCAAGAUAUUUCGGCUUUGUAUGGGGCCGCGUUGGGUUAGGUUGUUGGUAGGGUGAAAGCCUAGCAAGGCGACGAUCAGUAGCUGGCCUGGGAGGAUGAUCAGCCACACGGGGACUGAGACACGGCCCGGACUCCUACGGGACGAAGCAGUGGAGACUAUUGCACAGUCGGCGAGAGCCUGAUCCAGCACUGCCGCGUGAGUGAUGAAGGCCUUAGGGUUGUAAAGCUCUUUUACCCGGGAUGAUAAUGACAGUACCGGGAGAAUAAGCUCCGGCUAACUCCGUG